GACAGAGGAUGCAAGCGUUAUCCGGAAUGAUUGGGCGUAAAGAGCGUGUAGGCGGUCAGGUAGGUCCGUUGUGAAAACUCGAGGCUCAACCUCGAGACGCCGAUGGAAACCAUCUGACUAGAGUCCGGAAGAGGAGAGUGGAAUUCCUGGUGUAGCGGUGAAAUGCGCAGAUAUCAGGAAGAACACCCGUGGCUAAGGCGGCUCUCUAGUACGGUACUGACGCUGAGACGCGAAAGCGUGGGGAGCGAACAGG
This 253-nucleotide ribosomal RNA is filed under the name uncultured bacterium. RNAcentral's name for it is "partial 16S ribosomal RNA". It matches the Rfam family "Bacterial small subunit ribosomal RNA", at positions 524 to 776 of the family's 1533-position model. The record is from RNAcentral.